Long non-coding RNA from Carya illinoinensis, 1071 nucleotides. RefSeq lists it as uncharacterized. The record is from RefSeq and is a predicted model, not a curated record. The transcript is spliced from 3 exons. Lineage: Eukaryota; Viridiplantae; Streptophyta; Magnoliopsida; Fagales; Juglandaceae.
GCUAUUUAUUCUCUGAUUUGGCUUUGUUUUUCUUCUGGGUUUCCCUGUUUUGUCCGAAUCGCUUUUUGUUUUUCUUCUGGGUUUCCCUCGUAACGUCUGUGGAAUCAACGUUGCUCUUUUGGGUUGGUUUGGUGCUGUGAUCAACUAAAUCACAAAAUCGGCAAAGCGUCGCAUCACUCGCCGUUGUCAUUUUCUCUUCCCGGAAGGGCCGAUCAUCCUCUGAGAGGCUCAUCUUCUCGCUUAGAUUUAGAUUACAGGGAGAGAAAAUUGAGCGACUCUAUUUUUUCGUGGGUGAUUAUUACUUGUGUCAAAAGAAGGGGUGGGUUGGAAGUUUGGUGCUUGAGGGCGUGUGGUGUGGAUCCGGUGCUCAUGGAUAAAGUCCUUCACAAGCUCCGGAAACUGGACGCGUACCCUAAACUGAGCUCAGCGAUUCAGCUACGGUAGCAGAUUUGCAGGAGGCGAUUCAUCAACGAAUGUUUCGUGUCAUUCGGGGGAGGGGGGAAUAUAAUUAGGCUGUGAUGAUGGGGUUAAUUCAGAAGUGUAAUUGGGGCCCCAUCGAUAUGGCGGGGUAAUCGUUACUUGAAUAGGCCAAGUUGCAGUUUGUGGUACUCUCCAUAAACUGCAAUUUCCAUUCGGGUGAGGUUUUGCAGCCAUUCGAUGUUGGACUCCUAGAUUACGCAUGUUGUCCAUAUUUACACCAUUCUGAGCCACAUUUAUUGUCUUAUUCAAUAUGGGGAACCGGAUGGGAAUGCUCAUAUUUUUUGUUUUGUGAUUUGCAUACUGUUUGUUGUUGUUUGUAUUCUAUUGCGAAGAAGGAAUCAGAUCAGCGCAUUAUGAUGAUGGAUGUGAGUGUCAUGCCAGAAAUGCAACGGCUAUAUUUCCAGCAACUCCAGAGGGAAAUCAUGAUGAGACGCAGUAAUGCCCGAGAUUUGGAUUGAUUGUAAUGUAAUUUUUUUAUUGUACUUUUGAUGAUAGUUUCCUGUUAUACUUUUGUGCAAGUAAAUUGGAUGCCAUAAUUUCAGAAACAAUUAUAAGUUAUGCCAAAUUUAAUCCACUAUUACAUGAAAGAAA